GAUGAACGCUGGCGGCGUGCCUAACACAUGCAAGUCGAACGGUAGCACAGACUAGCUUGCUAGUUGGGUGACGAGUGGCGAACGGGUGAGUAAUGCGCAGGAAUACGCCUUAAAGAGGGGGACAACUUGGGGAAACUCAAGCUAAUACCGCGUACGCUCUUUGGAGGAAAGCUGGGGACCUUCGGGCCUGGCGCUUUAAGAGUAGCCUGCGUCUGAUUAGUUAGUUGGUGAGGUAAAGGCUCACCAAGACGAUGAUCAGUAGCUGGUCUGAGAGGAUGGUCAGCCACACUGGGACUGAGACACGGCCCAGACUCCUACGGGAGGCAG
This 327-nucleotide ribosomal RNA is filed under the name uncultured Pseudomonadota bacterium. RNAcentral's name for it is "bacterial SSU rRNA". It matches the Rfam family "Bacterial small subunit ribosomal RNA", at positions 28 to 351 of the family's 1533-position model. The record is from RNAcentral. Lineage: Bacteria; Pseudomonadati; Pseudomonadota.